GUGGAACUCAAUAGAUUUCUGUUUGCUGCAUGUGCUGCGGGUGCACACACACACAUGCACAAAUGACCACUUUAUGAAAGCAUUUGCGUGCAAUAAAAAGUUAAUUUUUUUCACACUUAAAAUCAGCUUCGCCACCUGCAGUGAUUAUCAAGCAAGCUUCAUUUGGAGACAGAUUUGGAGGCUGGCGGCUCUUUGGCUCUGAGAAAAUCCCUGAAGAAAACAUCUUGGACACCCCGAGGCAUCACCUCACAAGUUGGACACCUGAA
RNAcentral lists this long non-coding RNA (266 nucleotides) under Gallus gallus (chicken). The record is from RNAcentral. Lineage: Eukaryota; Metazoa; Chordata; Aves; Galliformes; Phasianidae.